Molecule: ribosomal RNA, 449 nt
Filed under: uncultured soil bacterium
Lineage: Bacteria
Description: bacterial SSU rRNA
Rfam family: Bacterial small subunit ribosomal RNA
Source: RNAcentral
UUCGAUUAACGCGAAGACCCUUACCUGGGCUCGAACGGCUGGUCAACGAUCGUGGAAACAUGGUUACCCCGCAAGGGGGUCCAGUCGAGGUGCUGCAUGGCUGUCGUCAGCUCGUGUCGUGAGAUGUUGGGUUAAGUCCCGCAACGAGCGCAACCCUUGUCCUGUGUUGCCACUCCGAAAGGAAGCACUCGCAGGAGACCGCCAGCGAUAAGCUGGAGGAAGGUGGGGAUGACGUCAAGUCCUCAUGGCCUUUAUGUCCAGGGCUACACACGUGCUACAAUGGCCGGUACAAUGCGUUCCCAAGCCGCGAGGUGGAGGCAAUCGCAAAAAACCGGUCUCAGUUCGGAUUGCAGGCUGCAACUCGCCUGCAUGAAGCUGGAAUCGCUAGUAAUGGCAGAUCAGCAUGCUGCCGUGAAUACGUUCCCGGGCCUUGUCACACCGAAUCACUA